AGAGUUUGAUCAUGGCUCAGGAUGAACGCUAGCUACAGGCUUAACACAUGCAAGUCGAGGGGAAACGACAUCGAAAGCUUGCUUUUGAUGGGCGUCGACCGGCGCACGGGUGAGUAACGCGUAUCCAACCUGCCCACCACUUGGGGAUAACCUUGCGAAAGUAAGACUAAUACCCAAUGACGUCUCUAGAAGACAUCUGAAAGAGAUUAAAGAUUUAUCGGUGAUGGAUGGGGAUGCGUCUGAUUAGCUUGGUUGGCGGGGUAACGGCCACGAAGGCGACGAUCAGUAGGGGUUCUGAGAGGAAGGUCCCCCANAUUGGAACUGAGACACGGUCCAAACUCCUACGGAGGCA
RNAcentral lists this ribosomal RNA (352 nucleotides) under uncultured bacterium. Its description in RNAcentral is "bacterial SSU rRNA". It matches the Rfam family "Bacterial small subunit ribosomal RNA", at positions 8 to 350 of the family's 1533-position model. The record is from RNAcentral.